This 580-nucleotide ribosomal RNA is filed under the name uncultured bacterium. Its description in RNAcentral is "partial 16S ribosomal RNA". It matches the Rfam family "Bacterial small subunit ribosomal RNA", at positions 355 to 932 of the family's 1533-position model. The record is from RNAcentral.
UGGGGAAUUUUGGACAAUGGGCGAAAGCCUGAUCCAGCAAUGCCGCGUGUGUGAAGAAGGCCUUCGGGUUGUAAAGCACUUUUGUCCGGAAAGAAAUCCUUGGCUCUAAUACAGUCGGGGGAUGACGGUACCGGAAGAAUAAGCACCGGCUAACUACGUGCCAGCAGCCGCGGUAAUACGUAGGGUGCAAGCGUUAAUCGGAAUUACUGGGCGUAAAGCGUGCGCAGGCGGUUUGCUAAGACCGAUGUGAAAUCCCCGGGCUCAACCUGGGAACUGCAUUGGUGACUGGCAGGCUAGAGUAUGGCAGAGGGGGGUAGAAUUCCACGUGUAGCAGUGAAAUGCGUAGAGAUGUGGAGGAAUACCGAUGGCGAAGGCAGCCCCCUGGGCCAAUACUGACGCUCAUGCACGAAAAGCGUGGGGAGCAAACAGGAUUAGAUACCCUGGUAGUCCACGCCCUAAACGAUGUCAACUAGUUGUUGGGGAUUCAUUUCCUUAGUAACGUAGCUAACGCGUGAAGUUGACCGCCUGGGGAGUACGGUCGCAAGAUUAAAACUCAAAUGAAUUGACGGGGUCAUAGCUG